This 2923-nucleotide ribosomal RNA is filed under the name Staphylococcus aureus. Its description in RNAcentral is "23S ribosomal RNA". It matches the Rfam family "Bacterial large subunit ribosomal RNA". Lineage: Bacteria; Bacillati; Bacillota; Bacilli; Caryophanales; Staphylococcaceae. The record is from RNAcentral.
GAUUAAGUUAUUAAGGGCGCACGGUGGAUGCCUUGGCACUAGAAGCCGAUGAAGGACGUUACUAACGACGAUAUGCUUUGGGGAGCUGUAAGUAAGCUUUGAUCCAGAGAUUUCCGAAUGGGGAAACCCAGCAUGAGUUAUGUCAUGUUAUCGAUAUGUGAAUACAUAGCAUAUCAGAAGGCACACCCGGAGAACUGAAACAUCUUAGUAUCCGGAGGAAGAGAAAGAAAAUUCGAUUCCCUUAGUAGCGGCGAGCGAAACGGGAAGAGCCCAAACCAACAAGCUUGCUUGUUGGGGUUGUAGGACACUCUAUACGGAGUUACAAAGGACGACAUUAGACGAAUCAUCUGGAAAGAUGAAUCAAAGAAGGUAAUAAUCCUGUAGUCGAAAAUGUUGUCUCUCUUGAGUGGAUCCUGAGUACGACGGAGCACGUGAAAUUCCGUCGGAAUCUGGGAGGACCAUCUCCUAAGGCUAAAUACUCUCUAGUGACCGAUAGUGAACCAGUACCGUGAGGGAAAGGUGAAAAGCACCCCGGAAGGGGAGUGAAAUAGAACCUGAAACCGUGUGCUUACAAGUAGUCAGAGCCCGUUAAUGGGUGAUGGCGUGCCUUUUGUAGAAUGAACCGGCGAGUUACGAUUUGAUGCAAGGUUAAGCAGUAAAUGUGGAGCCGUAGCGAAAGCGAGUCUGAAUAGGGCGUUUAGUAUUUGGUCGUAGACCCGAAACCAGGUGAUCUACCCUUGGUCAGGUUGAAGUUCAGGUAACACUGAAUGGAGGACCGAACCGACUUACGUUGAAAAGUGAGCGGAUGAACUGAGGGUAGCGGAGAAAUUCCAAUCGAACCUGGAGAUAGCUGGUUCUCUCCGAAAUAGCUUUAGGGCUAGCCUCAAGUGAUGAUUAUUGGAGGUAGAGCACUGUUUGGACGAGGGGCCCCUCUCGGGUUACCGAAUUCAGACAAACUCCGAAUGCCAAUUAAUUUAACUUGGGAGUCAGAACAUGGGUGAUAAGGUCCGUGUUCGAAAGGGAAACAGCCCAGACCACCAGCUAAGGUCCCAAAAUAUAUGUUAAGUGGAAAAGGAUGUGGCGUUGCCCAGACAACUAGGAUGUUGGCUUAGAAGCAGCCAUCAUUUAAAGAGUGCGUAAUAGCUCACUAGUCGAGUGACACUGCGCCGAAAAUGUACCGGGGCUAAACAUAUUACCGAAGCUGUGGAUUGUCCUUUGGACAAUGGUAGGAGAGCGUUCUAAGGGCGUUGAAGCAUGAUCGUAAGGACAUGUGGAGCGCUUAGAAGUGAGAAUGCCGGUGUGAGUAGCGAAAGACGGGUGAGAAUCCCGUCCACCGAUUGACUAAGGUUUCCAGAGGAAGGCUCGUCCGCUCUGGGUUAGUCGGGUCCUAAGCUGAGGCCGACAGGCGUAGGCGAUGGAUAACAGGUUGAUAUUCCUGUACCACCUAUAAUCGUUUUAAUCGAUGGGGGGACGCAGUAGGAUAGGCGAAGCGUGCGAUUGGAUUGCACGUCUAAGCAGUAAGGCUGAGUAUUAGGCAAAUCCGGUACUCGUUAAGGCUGAGCUGUGAUGGGGAGAAGACAUUGUGUCUUCGAGUCGUUGAUUUCACACUGCCGAGAAAAGCCUCUAGAUAGAAAAUAGGUGCCCGUACCGCAAACCGACACAGGUAGUCAAGAUGAGAAUUCUAAGGUGAGCGAGCGAACUCUCGUUAAGGAACUCGGCAAAAUGACCCCGUAACUUCGGGAGAAGGGGUGCUCUUUAGGGUUAACGCCCAGAAGAGCCGCAGUGAAUAGGCCCAAGCGACUGUUUAUCAAAAACACAGGUCUCUGCUAAACCGUAAGGUGAUGUAUAGGGGCUGACGCCUGCCCGGUGCUGGAAGGUUAAGAGGAGUGGUUAGCUUCUGCGAAGCUACGAAUCGAAGCCCCAGUAAACGGCGGCCGUAACUAUAACGGUCCUAAGGUAGCGAAAUUCCUUGUCGGGUAAGUUCCGACCCGCACGAAAGGCGUAACGAUUUGGGCACUGUCUCAACGAGAGACUCGGUGAAAUCAUAGUACCUGUGAAGAUGCAGGUUACCCGCGACAGGACGGAAAGACCCCGUGGAGCUUUACUGUAGCCUGAUAUUGAAAUUCGGCACAGCUUGUACAGGAUAGGUAGGAGCCUUUGAAACGUGAGCGCUAGCUUACGUGGAGGCGCUGGUGGGAUACUACCCUAGCUGUGUUGGCUUUCUAACCCGCACCACUUAUCGUGGUGGGAGACAGUGUCAGGCGGGCAGUUUGACUGGGGCGGUCGCCUCCUAAAAGGUAACGGAGGCGCUCAAAGGUUCCCUCAGAAUGGUUGGAAAUCAUUCAUAGAGUGUAAAGGCAUAAGGGAGCUUGACUGCGAGACCUACAAGUCGAGCAGGGUCGAAAGACGGACUUAGUGAUCCGGUGGUUCCGCAUGGAAGGGCCAUCGCUCAACGGAUAAAAGCUACCCCGGGGAUAACAGGCUUAUCUCCCCCAAGAGUUCACAUCGACGGGGAGGUUUGGCACCUCGAUGUCGGCUCAUCGCAUCCUGGGGCUGUAGUCGGUCCCAAGGGUUGGGCUGUUCGCCCAUUAAAGCGGUACGCGAGCUGGGUUCAGAACGUCGUGAGACAGUUCGGUCCCUAUCCGUCGUGGGCGUAGGAAAUUUGAGAGGAGCUGUCCUUAGUACGAGAGGACCGGGAUGGACAUACCUCUGGUGUACCAGUUGUCGUGCCAACGGCAUAGCUGGGUAGCUAUGUGUGGACGGGAUAAGUGCUGAAAGCAUCUAAGCAUGAAGCCCCCCUCAAGAUGAGAUUUCCCAACUUCGGUUAUAAGAUCCCUCAAAGAUGAUGAGGUUAAUAGGUUCGAGGUGGAAGCAUGGUGACAUGUGGAGCUGACGAAUACUAAUCGAUCGAAGACUUAAUCAA